Molecule: ribosomal RNA, 253 nt
Filed under: uncultured Coxiella sp.
Lineage: Bacteria; Pseudomonadati; Pseudomonadota; Gammaproteobacteria; Legionellales; Coxiellaceae
Description: partial 16S ribosomal RNA
Rfam family: Bacterial small subunit ribosomal RNA
Source: RNAcentral
UACAGAGGGUGCAAGCGUUAAUCGGACUUACUGGGCGUAAAGGGUGCGUAGGUGGAGAAUUAAGUCGUGUGUGAAAAUCUUGGGCUUAACCUAAGACUUGCAGACGAUACUGAUUGUCUAGAGUAUGGUAGAGGGAAGUGGAAUUUCCGGUGUAGCGGUGAAAUGCGUAGAUAUCGGAAGGAACAUCAGUGGCGAAGGCGGCUUUCUGGACCAAUACUGACACUGAGGCACGAAAGCGUGGGGAGCAAACAGG